RNAcentral lists this ribosomal RNA (253 nucleotides) under uncultured bacterium. RNAcentral's name for it is "partial 16S ribosomal RNA". It matches the Rfam family "Bacterial small subunit ribosomal RNA", at positions 524 to 776 of the family's 1533-position model. The record is from RNAcentral.
UACGUAGGAUGCGAGCGUUAUCCGGAUUUAUUGGGUUUAAAGGGAGCGUAGGUGGAUUGUUAAGUCAGUUGUGAAAGUUUGCGGCUCAACCGUAAAAUUGCAGUUGAAACUGGCAGUCUUGAGUACAGUAGAGGUGGGCGGAAUUCGUGGUGUAGCGGUGAAAUGCUUAGAUAUCACGAAGAACUCCGAUUGCGAAGGCAGCUCACUAGACUGCAACUGACACUGAUGCUCGAAAGUGUGGGUAUCAAACAGG